AGCAUAUAUACAUACAGUCAGCAAGAAAGAAAGAAAGAAGCAAAGACAGCUUGAAAUAGAAAAAAUGACUUC
Molecule: non-coding RNA, 72 nt
Filed under: Schmidingerella taraikaensis
Lineage: Eukaryota; Ciliophora; Spirotrichea; Tintinnida; Rhabdonellidae
Source: RNAcentral